This 454-nucleotide ribosomal RNA is filed under the name uncultured bacterium. Its description in RNAcentral is "partial 16S ribosomal RNA". It matches the Rfam family "Bacterial small subunit ribosomal RNA", at positions 28 to 507 of the family's 1533-position model. The record is from RNAcentral.
GAUGAACGCUGACAGAAUGCUUAACACAUGCAAGUCAACUUGAACUUCGGUUUGGGUGGCGGACGGGUGAGUAACGCGUAAAGAACUUGCCUCACAGAUAGGGACAACAUUUGGAGACGAAUGCUAAUACCUGAUAUUAUGAUUAUAUGGCAUCGUAUAAUUAUGAAAGCUAUAUGCGCUGUGAGAGAGCUUUGCGUCCCAUUAGCUAGUUGGAGAGGUAACGGCUCACCAAGGCGAUGAUGGGUAGCCGGCCUGAGAGGGUGAUCGGCCACAAGGGGACUGAGACACGGCCCUUACUCCUACGGGAGGCAGCAGUGGGGAAUAUUGGACAAUGGACCAAGAGUCUGAUCCAGCAAUUCUGCGUGCACGAUGAAGUUUUUCGGAAUGUAAAGUGCUUUCAGUUGGGAAGAAAAAAAUGACGGUACCAACAGAAGAAGUGACGGCUAAAUACGUG